AUUGAACGCUGGCGGCAGGCUUAACACAUGCAAGUCGAGCGGGGGAAGGUAGCUUGCUACCGGACCUAGCGGCGGACGGGUGAGUAAUGCUUAGGAAUCUGCCUAUUAGUGGGGGACAACAUCUCGAAAGGGAUGCUAAUACCGCAUACGUCCUACGGGAGAAAGCAGGGGAUCUUCGGACCUUGCGCUAAUAGAUGAGCCUAAGUCGGAUUAGCUAGUUGGUGGGGUAAAGGCCUACCAAGGCGACGAUCUGUAGCGGGUCUGAGAGGAUGAUCCGCCACACUGGGACUGAGACACGGCCCAGACUCCUACGGGAGGUAGCAGUGGGGAAUAUUGGACAAUGGGGGGAACCCUGAUCCAGCCGUGCCGCGUGUGUGAAGAAGGCCUUAUGGUUGUAAAGCACUUUAAGCGAGGAGGAGGCUACUUUAGUUAAUACCUAGAGAUAGUGGACGUUACUCGCAGAAUAAGCACCGGCUAACUCUGUGCCAGCCGCCGCAGUAA
RNAcentral lists this ribosomal RNA (501 nucleotides) under uncultured bacterium. RNAcentral describes it as "partial 16S ribosomal RNA". It matches the Rfam family "Bacterial small subunit ribosomal RNA", at positions 30 to 523 of the family's 1533-position model. The record is from RNAcentral.